Molecule: long non-coding RNA, 465 nt
Organism: Dreissena polymorpha
Lineage: Eukaryota; Metazoa; Mollusca; Bivalvia; Myida; Dreissenidae
Exons: 3
Source: RefSeq, a predicted model, not a curated record
AUGGUGUAUAUUUUUUUAACUUUCAGAACAAAGAGUACAGGCUGAACCUGGUGACCAAGAAAUGCAACGUAACGGUUCCCUCGCAUCCGUUCUGGAAGACAGGCGUUGUCCCGGGCUCCAAGUUCCUGUUCGAGGCCGAGGCAGGGGCGGCGUCCAUUCCAUUUGAGCACCUUACUGUCCAGAACUGGGACAUUACAUUCGACAAUGGAGCAAAAUACGCUAUAGCUGUUACAUCGCCCACCUGUGUACCCGUCUUCGCAGCAUAUUAUAACAAAGAAAUCGGCUUCUUGAUUGAGAAUUUCUUCGAUAUUCACGCCGGUAUUUCUGACCCCAGCGUUUUCAUUCCGCCUGCCGAGUGCGCCGGUCUUUAAUCGUGUGCAUUACAUUACUUUCUUGUAUUAUGAUUGUUCAAAUUAAUAAAAACAGUAGAUACAUAAUAAAAUUGACUUUGUAACACAUGGAUAA